GGUGUCCCAAUGUUAAUGGUGCAAUACCCCAACUUCCUGCCUGUCAUUGUAAAAACAGGACAUAUGAACAUGAAUAAUCAAAUCACAGUGCAGCUGAUGUGGUUGUAUUGAAAUGAGAUAUAUUCCACAGUAUCUCCAGCAUCCUCUAAAUCAUUAAAGACAGUUACAAUUUCAACGUGAGGAGCAAAUGAUUAAAUCCACAUGCAAAAAUUAAGCUCACUGAAAUAUUGGAGAAAGUUUUACAAGCACUCCAUGGGAUGUUGACUGCUUCUUUCUUUUAUAGUAUGCACCCAUUCCUAUCUCUGGGAGCACUGGCAUGAAAUUAUAUAUAUAAAAACUACCAAAAACAAAAAAAAAAACCAAACAGGAACCAUCUUUACUUUUUCUUCCCUGACUCCCAAAUACUAAUCUAUUCAAGUAGCUUACUCACAAAGUUUGAGCAAAUAGGGCUUACUGAUAGCCUGGAUGGUAAAGAAAUCUGGGCAUGGCUGAG
Dermochelys coriacea (leatherback sea turtle) is the source of this 493-nucleotide long non-coding RNA. RefSeq lists it as uncharacterized. The record is from RefSeq and is a predicted model, not a curated record. The transcript is spliced from 3 exons. NCBI's taxonomy places the organism in Eukaryota, Metazoa, Chordata, Testudines, Dermochelyidae.